RNAcentral lists this ribosomal RNA (422 nucleotides) under uncultured archaeon. RNAcentral describes it as "bacterial SSU rRNA". It matches the Rfam family "Archaeal small subunit ribosomal RNA", at positions 458 to 880 of the family's 1478-position model. The record is from RNAcentral.
UCAGCCGCCGCGGUAAUACCAGCUCUCCGAGUGGUGUGGACGUUUAUUGGGCCUAAAGCAUCCGUAGCUGGCUGAACAAGUCCCCUGUUAAACCCACCGAUUUAAUCGUUGGCGUGCGGGGGAUACUGCUUGGCUAGGGGACGAGAGAGGCAGACGGUAUUCCCGGGGUAGGGGUGAAAUCCUAUAAUCCCGAGAAGACCACCAAUGGCGAAGGCUGUCUGCUAGAACGCGCCCGACGGUGAGGGAUGAAAGCUGGGGGAGCGAACCGGAUUAGAUACCCGGGUAGUCCCGGCUGUAAACGAAGCAGACUAGGUGUUUGGACGGCCACGUGCCGUUCUAGUGCCGCAGGGAAGCCGUUAAGCCCGCCGCCUGGGAAGUACGGCCGCAAGGCUGAAACUUAAAGGAAUUGGCGGGGGAGCACA